RNAcentral lists this ribosomal RNA (560 nucleotides) under Stelgistra stormi. Its description in RNAcentral is "partial 16S rRNA". It matches the Rfam family "Bacterial large subunit ribosomal RNA", at positions 1831 to 2625 of the family's 2925-position model. The record is from RNAcentral. Lineage: Eukaryota; Metazoa; Arthropoda; Malacostraca; Decapoda; Sesarmidae.
GUCUAUUUGGAGAUAUAAAAAGUCUAGCCUGCCCGCUGAUAAAUAUUUAAGGGCCGCGGUAUUUCUGACUGUGCAAAGGUAGCAUAAUCGUUAGUUUUUUAAUUGAAAUCUUGUAUGAAUGGUUUGACAAAAGAAAAACUGUCUUUAUAAUUAUUUAUUGAAUUUAACUUUUAAGUGAAAAGGCUUAAAUAAGUUAAAAAGACGAUAAGACCCUAUAAAGCUUAAUAUUAAUUUUUAUUUAAUAAAAUUUUAGGUAUUAUAAAUAUUUGGUAAAUUGUUUUUAUUAUAUUGGGGCGAUAAUGGUAAAAUUAUUAUUAACUGUUAAUUGAAUUUUAAACAAAAAUAAAUGGAUAAUGCACGUAUGUAAAUGAUCCUUUUUAAAGAUUAAAAGUUUAAGUUACUUUAGGGAUAACAGCGUUAUUUUUUUUGAGAGUUCUUAUCGAAAAAAAAGUUUGCGACCUCGAUGUUGAAUUAAAAUAUCUAUAUAAUUGUAGCAGUUAUAUAAGAAGGUCUGUUCGACCUUUAAAUUUUUACAUGAUUUGAGUUCAAACCGGCGUGAG